Molecule: ribosomal RNA, 462 nt
Filed under: uncultured bacterium
Lineage: Bacteria
Description: partial 16S ribosomal RNA
Rfam family: Bacterial small subunit ribosomal RNA
Source: RNAcentral
GACGAACGCUGGCGGCGGGCUUAACACAUGCAAGUCGAACGGAAAGGCCCUUCGGGGUACUCGAGUGGCGAACGGGUGAGUAACACGUGGGUGAUCUGCGCUGCACUUUGGGAUAAGCCGGGGAAACUGGGUCUAAUACCGAAUAGGACCACGCGCUUCAUGGGGUGUGGGGGAAAGCUUUUGCGGUGUGGGAUGGGCCCGCGGCCUAUCAGCUGGUUGGUGGGGUAAUGGCCUACCAAGGCGACGACGGGUAGCCGGCCUGAGAGGGUGACCGGCCACACUGGGACUGAGAUACGGACCAGACUCCUACGGGAGGCAGCAGUGGGGAAUAUUGCACAAUGGGCGCAAGCCUGAUGCAGCGACGCCGCGUGAGGGAUGACGGCCUUCCGGUUGUAAACCUCUUUCAAUAGGGACGAAGCGCAAGUGACGGUACCUAUAGAAGAAGCACCGGCCAACUACGUG